CUGUUGAAAGCAAUAGGGGCGCUCUUUGAUCGCUAUCCACUAGCAGCUGAGAUGAUGCUCAAGGCGUAUGGCGCCGAAGAAGGGAAACACCCAGACGUGCAUUUCGAUCUUUUCGCACACAAACGCUGAUGAAUGAUCUCGAGGACCCUUGUGGCCAGCCCUCUGCUAUUAAUAUAUAAUAACUACGUAGACGGAAUUAAUGUCUUCUUUUUUUUUCCUUGUUUGCCAACGAGAUUAAUUUAUUCCCUUUGAGUUAAAUAUUUUCCAUUAUUCAAUCAACGAAAA
Long non-coding RNA from Neltuma alba, 285 nucleotides. RefSeq lists it as uncharacterized. Lineage: Eukaryota; Viridiplantae; Streptophyta; Magnoliopsida; Fabales; Fabaceae. The record is from RefSeq and is a predicted model, not a curated record. The transcript has 2 exons.